This 1022-nucleotide long non-coding RNA is filed under the name Phoenix dactylifera (date palm). RNAcentral's name for it is "long non-coding RNA (PDAC_LNC014634)". The record is from RNAcentral. Lineage: Eukaryota; Viridiplantae; Streptophyta; Magnoliopsida; Arecales; Arecaceae.
UUUGAGGCUGACAUUAUGAUCUGCAGAGAGUAAAGAUUCUAGUUAGAUUUUUGUACUUGAUCCUUAAUCUGUUCUAAGGACUUUUAGAACGAAUGUACCUCCCACUAUUUUCUCGAAUUCCUCACACUCCCCUGGUAAGAAAACGGAAAUCCUACACGACAGGAUUUCUAGUGGAUACUGCGGUUCCACCGAUUUACAUGCCACCUCACCUAACAGUUAUUGAUGACACAUAAAUUGAUGAAUGUACAACUCUUGUACAAUACUUCUUAAGCAUGUUGCAGUGCUACUUGGUCUCUAAGCCAUGAAAACCUCACCUAACAGUUAUUGGUCCCAUUUCUUAGUUAAGUCAGACCCACCGUAUAACCGUAGGAAUAAAGUCGUCAUUGGGUCCUCACCUAACAGUUAUUGGUGCCCAACCCCAUCUUUACCCUACAACAUCUCAUGUCUAUAGAGAGGUCCAACCUCCCGAUGCAACUUGACCACUGUAUCCAGCCGAGAAAAAUCAACAUCAGAAAGGCCUUAGCAGCUCUACUACGGUGGAAGACCUAUUGACUUAAUAUUGGUUAAUCAGGUCUUAGUGUUUGCAACUUGAGCUCUUCAUAAGAGGUAAUCGAACAAUUGGCCAGGUAAGCAGGUGGGAGGCUCCCCUUACUCAGAGAGUAAGGUCCUAAUUAAGUAACCAAAUUUCAUGCUUUCCUAGACACCAAUUAGAUCAAUUAAUCUAAUACGACUUGCUCAUGUCGGUUCACUCUCGACUUGAUUGAGGAGGUUUUAAUUUAGGUCUCAAUUGGGUUUGCUACAUCACAUGUAAACCUAUCUACCCGUCUCUCAUUCACAUCACAUGCAAACGACACAUUGCAGGCAGUUAUAAUCGCAGCAAUAAUUAAAGCUAAACUUUAAAUAGGUGAUGAUCAUGGAUUCUAAUUAGGUCAUAUUACAAGCACAUGCACGUCAAUCGAUCAACUGGUCUUCAACUCUUGAAUUGGUUCCAAGCCUCCUUGAUUCGAUCCUUGUUUAACUCU